GGUGCUAAUACCGGAUAAGAAAGCGGAUCGCAUGAUCAGCUUUUAAAAGGACGGCGUAAGCUGUCGCUAUGGGAUGGCCCCGCGGUGCAUUAGCUAGUUGGUAAGGUAAAGGCUUACCAAGGCGAUGAUGCAUAGCCGAGUUGAGAGACUGAUCGACCACAUUGGGACUGAGACACGGCCCAAAACUCCUACGGGAGGCAGCAGGC
RNAcentral lists this ribosomal RNA (206 nucleotides) under uncultured Lactobacillus sp. RNAcentral's name for it is "partial 16S ribosomal RNA". It matches the Rfam family "Bacterial small subunit ribosomal RNA", at positions 159 to 354 of the family's 1533-position model. The record is from RNAcentral. Lineage: Bacteria; Bacillati; Bacillota; Bacilli; Lactobacillales; Lactobacillaceae.